This is a non-coding RNA of Manis javanica (Malayan pangolin), 245 nucleotides long. The record is from RefSeq and is a predicted model, not a curated record. Lineage: Eukaryota; Metazoa; Chordata; Mammalia; Pholidota; Manidae.
UUUAAAUGUUUUGUCUGUGAAAUGCUAGCAAAUUGGAAAACACCACACUGGUCAGGAAAGCACGUGGAGCCCCGGAUGCUGUGGUUUUCACCCGCCUGAUGCGCUGAUGCGCUCUGGAGCUGUGGUGACCCCGGAGCAGUGCCUGCAGUGAAGGACGGCAAAGCAGCCCAUCUAUCACCUCUGAGAAGGGAAGAUGCAGCACAACAUCACAGCUUUCCUUAACUUGGGAACAAGACAGCACUACA